This 141-nucleotide small nuclear RNA is filed under the name Cebus imitator (Panamanian white-faced capuchin). RNAcentral describes it as "U4 spliceosomal RNA (ENSCCAG00000013897.1)". It matches the Rfam family "U4 spliceosomal RNA". Rfam says of the family: U4 small nuclear RNA (U4 snRNA) is a component of the major U2-dependent spliceosome. The structure of U4 snRNA from yeast and human has been reported. Lineage: Eukaryota; Metazoa; Chordata; Mammalia; Primates; Cebidae. The record is from Rfam by way of RNAcentral.
GGCUUUGUGCAGUGUCAGUAUCAUAGCCAAUGAGGUUUAUCUGAGGGGCGAUUAUUGCUAAUUGAAAACUUUUCCCAAUACCCCAUCAUGACAACUUGAAAUAUAGUCGGCAUUGGCAAUUUUUGACAAUCUCUAUGGAAA